RNAcentral lists this small RNA (301 nucleotides) under Histoplasma ohiense. RNAcentral's name for it is "hypothetical lncRNA". Lineage: Eukaryota; Fungi; Ascomycota; Eurotiomycetes; Onygenales; Ajellomycetaceae. The record is from RNAcentral.
UGCCUGGGUGCCUCCGACUCGUAUACCGAAGAAACGCUGCUCGACCUUCCUUGAAAAGCCUUAAGCGCCCCACUAGAUAUGCUGGGACGGCGCAGACUUCUUGAACAAGUCUCCUGGGUAAGUCGGCUUUAAACAGGUGCCCAUUCGUACUGUAGUAGAAAUGGCGUCUGGCCCUGGUUUGUGAGGAUUAUUCAUGUUAUCAAUCAGAUGAAUCGGCCAAGUCAUUGUCAGUGUUAUUAUGAUAACAUUGCGAUGGCCAUAUAUUCUUUUGUGGUCUUUCAAGAGGAACACAUUUUCAGGU